RNAcentral lists this ribosomal RNA (1533 nucleotides) under Escherichia coli. RNAcentral describes it as "bacterial SSU rRNA". It matches the Rfam family "Bacterial small subunit ribosomal RNA". The record is from RNAcentral. Lineage: Bacteria; Pseudomonadati; Pseudomonadota; Gammaproteobacteria; Enterobacterales; Enterobacteriaceae.
AAAUUGAAGAGUUUGAUCAUGGCUCAGAUUGAACGCUGGCGGCAGGCCUAACACAUGCAAGUCGAACGGUAACAGGAAGAAGCUUGCUUCUUUGCUGACGAGUGGCGGACGGGUGAGUAAUGUCUGGGAAACUGCCUGAUGGAGGGGGAUAACUACUGGAAACGGUAGCUAAUACCGCAUAACGUCGCAAGACCAAAGAGGGGGACCUUCGGGCCUCUUGCCAUCGGAUGUGCCCAGAUGGGAUUAGCUUGUUGGUGGGGUAACGGCUCACCAAGGCGACGAUCCCUAGCUGGUCUGAGAGGAUGACCAGCCACACUGGAACUGAGACACGGUCCAGACUCCUACGGGAGGCAGCAGUGGGGAAUAUUGCACAAUGGGCGCAAGCCUGAUGCAGCCAUGCCGCGUGUAUGAAGAAGGCCUUCGGGUUGUAAAGUACUUUCAGCGGGGAGGAAGGGAGUAAAGUUAAUACCUUUGCUCAUUGACGUUACCCGCAGAAGAAGCACCGGCUAACUCCGUGCCAGCAGCCGCGGUAAUACGGAGGGUGCAAGCGUUAAUCGGAAUUACUGGGCGUAAAGCGCACGCAGGCGGUUUGUUAAGUCAGAUGUGAAAUCCCCGGGCUCAACCUGGGAACUGCAUCUGAUACUGGCAAGCUUGAGUCUCGUAGAGGGGGUAGAAUUCCAGGUGUAGCGGUGAAAUGCGUAGAGAUCUGGAGGAAUACCGGUGGCGAAGGCGGCCCCUGGACGAAGACUGACGCUCAGGUGCGAAAGCGUGGGGAGCAAACAGGAUUAGAUACCCUGGUAGUCCACGCCGUAAACGAUGUCGACUUGGAGGUUGUGCCCUUGAGGCGUGGCUUCCGGAGCUAACGCGUUAAGUCGACCGCCUGGGGAGUACGGCCGCAAGGUUAAAACUCAAAUGAAUUGACGCCCGCACAAGCGGUGGAGCAUGGGUUUAAUUCGAUGCAACGCGAAGAACCUUACCUGGUCUUGACAUCCACGGAAGUUUUCAGAGAUGAGAAUGUGCCUUCGGGAACCGUGAGACAGGUGCUGCAUGGCUGUCGUCAGCUCGUGUUGUGAAAUGUUGGGUUAAGUCCCGCAACGAGCGCAACCCUUAUCCUUUGUUGCCAGCGGUCCGGCCGGGAACUCAAAGGAGACUGCCAGUGAUAAACUGGAGGAAGGUGGGGAUGACGUCAAGUCAUCAUGGCCCUUACGACCAGGGCUACACACGUGCUACAAUGGCGCAUACAAAGAGAAGCGACCUCGCGAGAGCAAGCGGACCUCAUAAAGUGCGUCGUAGUCCGGAUUGAGUCUGCAACUCGACUCCAUGAAGUCGGAAUCGCUAGUAAUCGUGGAUCAGAAUGCCACGGUGAAUACGUUCCCGGGCCUUGUACACACCGCCCGUCACACCAUGGGAGUGGGUUGCAAAAGAAGUAGGUAGCUUAACCUUCGGGAGGCGCUUACCACUUUGUGAUUCAUGACUGGGGUGAAGUCGUAACAAGGUAACCGUAGGGGAACCUGCGGUUGGAUCACCUCCUUA